This 253-nucleotide ribosomal RNA is filed under the name uncultured bacterium. RNAcentral describes it as "partial 16S ribosomal RNA". It matches the Rfam family "Bacterial small subunit ribosomal RNA", at positions 524 to 776 of the family's 1533-position model. The record is from RNAcentral.
UACGUAGGGUGCGAGCGUUAAUCGGAAUUACUGGGCGUAAAGCGUGCGCAGGCGGUUGGUUAAGUCUGAUGUGAAAGCCCCGGGCUCAACCUGGGAAUGGCAUCGGAAACUGGCUGGCUAGAGUGUGGCAGAGGGGGGUGGAAUUCCGCGUGUAGCAGUGAAAUGCGUAGAGAUGCGGAGGAACACCGAUGGCGAAGGCAGCCCCCUGGGCUGACACUGACGCUCAGGCACGAAAGCGUGGGGAGCAAACAGG